RNAcentral lists this ribosomal RNA (259 nucleotides) under uncultured bacterium. Its description in RNAcentral is "partial small subunit ribosomal RNA". It matches the Rfam family "Bacterial small subunit ribosomal RNA", at positions 26 to 291 of the family's 1533-position model. The record is from RNAcentral.
AGAGCGAACGCUGGCGGCAUGCUUAACACAUGCAAGUCGCACGGUUCGGGGGCAACCCCGGGCAGUGGCGGACGGGUGAGGAACGCGUAGGAAUCUGUCCCGGAAUGGGGGAUAACCGUGGGAAACUACGGCUAAUACCGCAUGCGGCCCGAGGGCCAAAGGCGCUGAUCGCAAGGUUGGGGUCGUUUUGGGAGGAGCCUGCGUCCGAUUAGCUUGUUGGUGAGGUAAAGGCUCACCAAGGCUACGAUCAGUAGCUGGU